UAGCUUCUUCGGGGUCGGGUGUAAUUCCCAAUCGGCGGUGACAAAGAUAAUUUGAAGUCCGCGACCUGCUAAUAGCAGUUGACCUGGUGCAAAUCCAGGACCGACAGUUAAAGUCUGGAUGGAAGAAGAAGUUU
This is a regulatory RNA element of 134 nucleotides. It matches the Rfam family "FMN riboswitch aptamer (RFN element)". From Rfam's summary of the family: The RFN element is a highly conserved domain that is found frequently in the 5'-untranslated regions of prokaryotic mRNAs that encode for flavin mononucleotide (FMN) biosynthesis and transport proteins. This element is a metabolite-dependent riboswitch that directly binds FMN in the absence of proteins. The record is from Rfam.